AGAGUUUGAUCCUGGCUCAGGAUGAACGCUGGCGGCGUGCCUAACACAUGCAAGUCGAGCGAUUCUCUUCGGAGAAGAGCGGCGGACGGGUGAGUAACGCGUGGGUAACCUGCCCUGUACACACGGAUAACAUACCGAAAGGUAUGCUAAUACGAGAUAAUAUGCUUUUAUCGCAUGGUAGAAGUAUCAAAGCUCCGGCGGUACAGGAUGGACCCGCGUCUGAUUAGCUAGUUGGUAAGGUAACGGGCUUACCAAGGCGACGAUCAGUAGCCGACCUGAGAGGGUGAUCGGCCACAUUGGAACUGAGACACGGUCCAAACUCCUACGGGAGGCAGCAGUGGGGAAUAUUGCACAAUGGGCGAAAGCCUGAUGCAGCAACGCCGCGUGAGCGAUGAAGGCCUUCGGGUCGUAAAGCUCUGUCCUCAAGGAAGAUAAUGACGGUACUUGAGGAGGAAGCCCCGGCUAACUACGUG
Molecule: ribosomal RNA, 473 nt
Filed under: uncultured bacterium
Lineage: Bacteria
Description: bacterial SSU rRNA
Rfam family: Bacterial small subunit ribosomal RNA
Source: RNAcentral